This 76-nucleotide transfer RNA is filed under the name Methylotenera sp. RNAcentral's name for it is "tRNA-Arg". It matches the Rfam family "tRNA". Rfam says of the family: Transfer RNA (tRNA) molecules are approximately 80 nucleotides in length. Their secondary structure includes four short double-helical elements and three loops (D, anti-codon, and T loops). Lineage: Bacteria; Pseudomonadati; Pseudomonadota; Betaproteobacteria; Nitrosomonadales; Methylophilaceae. The record is from RNAcentral.
CUCCUUGUGGUGAAACUGGAUAUCACAGACCCCUCCUAAGGGUCAAUUACAGGUUCAAGUCCUGUCGGGGAGACCA